Molecule: ribosomal RNA, 304 nt
Filed under: uncultured bacterium
Lineage: Bacteria
Description: partial 16S ribosomal RNA
Rfam family: Bacterial small subunit ribosomal RNA
Source: RNAcentral
CAGCAGCAGCCGCGGUAAUACGAAGGGGGCUAGCGUUGUUCGGAAUUACUGGGCGUAAAGGGCGCGUAGGCGGCCAUUCAAGUUAGAUGUGAAAGCCCUGGGCUCAACCUAGGAAUUGCAUUUGAUACUGUUUGGCUUGAGUUCGGGAGAGGUGAGUGGAAUUCCCAGUGUAGAGGUGAAAUUCGUAGAUAUUCGGAAGAACACCAGUGGCGAAGGCGGCUUACUGGCUCAUUCUAGACGCUGAGGUGCGAAAGCGUGGGGAGCAAACAGGACUAGAUACCCGAGUAGUCCCUGUCUCUUAUAC